GUCCACGCCCUAAACGAUGUCUACUAGUUGUUGGGCUUUCGGAGCUUAGUAACGCAGCUAACGCGUGAAGUAGACCGCCUGGGGAGUACGGUCGCAAGACUAAAACUCAAAGGAAUUGACGGGGCCCGCACAAGCGGUGGAUGAUGUGGAUUAAUUCGAUGCAACGCGAAAACCUUACCUGGUCUUGACAUGUACGGAAUCUUUUAGAGAUAGAAGAGUGCCUUCGGGAGCCGUAACACAGGUGCUGCAUGGCUGUCGU
Molecule: ribosomal RNA, 259 nt
Filed under: uncultured bacterium
Lineage: Bacteria
Description: partial 16S ribosomal RNA
Rfam family: Bacterial small subunit ribosomal RNA
Source: RNAcentral